Molecule: ribosomal RNA, 1100 nt
Filed under: Streptomyces sp. BEE12H1
Lineage: Bacteria; Bacillati; Actinomycetota; Actinomycetes; Kitasatosporales; Streptomycetaceae
Description: bacterial SSU rRNA
Rfam family: Bacterial small subunit ribosomal RNA
Source: RNAcentral
AGUCGAACGAUGACCCACCUUCGGGUGGGGAUUAGUGGCGAACGGGUGAGUAACACGUGGGCAAUCUGCCCUGCACUCUGGGACAAGCCCUGGAAACGGGGUCUAAUACCGGAUACUGAACCGCUUGGGCAUCCGGGCGGUUCGAAAGCUCCGGCGGUGCAGGAUGAGCCCGCGGCCUAUCAGCUUGUUGGUGAGGUAACGGCUCACCAAGGCGACGACGGGUAGCCGGCCUGAGAGGGCGACCGGCCACACUGGGACUGAGACACGGCCCAGACUCCUACGGGAGGCAGCAGUGGGGAAUAUUGCACAAUGGGCGAAAGCCUGAUGCAGCGACGCCGCGUGAGGGAUGACGGCCUUCGGGUUGUAAACCUCUUUCAGCAGGGAAGAAGCGAAAGUGACGGUACCUGCAGAAGAAGCGCCGGCUAACUACGUGCCAGCAGCCGCGGUAAUACGUAGGGCGCGAGCGUUGUCCGGAAUUAUUGGGCGUAAAGAGCUCGUAGGCGGCUUGUCGCGUCGGUUGUGAAAGCCCGGGGCUUAACCCCGGGUCUGCAGUCGAUACGGGCAGGCUAGAGUUCGGUAGGGGAGAUCGGAAUUCCUGGUGUAGCGGUGAAAUGCGCAGAUAUCAGGAGGAACACCGGUGGCGAAGGCGGAUCUCUGGGCCGAUACUGACGCUGAGGAGCGAAAGCGUGGGGAGCGAACAGGAUUAGAUACCCUGGUAGUCCACGCCGUAAACGGUGGGCACUAGGUGUGGGCGACAUUCCACGUCGUCCGUGCCGCAGCUAACGCAUUAAGUGCCCCGCCUGGGGAGUACGGCCGCAAGGCUAAAACUCAAAGGAAUUGACGGGGGCCCGCACAAGCGGCGGAACAUGUGGCUUAAUUCGACGCAACGCGAAAAACCUUACCAAGGCUUGACUUCAACCGGAAAGCCUCGGAGAUGGGGCCCCCCUUGUGGUCCGGGUACAGGUGGUGCAUGGCUGUCCUCACCUCUGGCCGGGAAAUGUUGGGUUAAUUCCCGCACAAAGCGCAACCCUUGUCCCGGUUUCCCAGCAGGCCCUUUGGGUGCUGGGGAAUCCCGGGAAACCCCCGGGGUCCACUCCGAG